UCUCAGUUCGGAUUGUAGUCUGCAACUCGACUACAUGAAGCUGGAAUCGCUAGUAAUCGCAAAUCAGAAUGUUGCGGUGAAUACGUUCCCGGGUCUUGUACACACCGCCCGUCACACCAUGGGAGUCGGAAAUGCCCGAAGUCUGUGACCCAACGAAAGAGGGAGCACGCCGAAGGCAGGUCUGAUAACUGGGGUGAAGUCGUAACAAGGUAAC
Molecule: ribosomal RNA, 214 nt
Filed under: uncultured bacterium
Lineage: Bacteria
Description: partial 16S ribosomal RNA
Rfam family: Bacterial small subunit ribosomal RNA
Source: RNAcentral